GUAGGUGGCAAGCGUUGUCCGGAAUUAUUGGGCGUAAAGCGCGCGCAGGCGGUUCUUUAAGUCUGAUGUGAAAGCCCACGGCUCGACCGUGGAGGGUCAUUGGAAACUGGAGAACUUGAGUACAGAAGAGGAAAGCGGAAUUCCACGUGUAGCGGUGAAAUGCGUAGAGAUGUGGAGGAACACCAGUGGCGAAGGCGGCUUUCUGGUCUGUAACUGACGCUGAGGCGCGAAAGCGUGGGGAGCAAACAGGAUUAGAUACCCUGGUAGUCCACGCCGUAAACGAUGAGUGCUAAGUGUUAGGGGGGUUUUCCGCCCCCCUUAGUGCUGCAGCUAACGCAUUAAGCACUCCGCCUGGGAGUACGGCCGCAGGGCUG
This 374-nucleotide ribosomal RNA is filed under the name uncultured organism. Its description in RNAcentral is "partial 16S ribosomal RNA". It matches the Rfam family "Bacterial small subunit ribosomal RNA", at positions 527 to 896 of the family's 1533-position model. The record is from RNAcentral.